Gossypium raimondii (Peruvian cotton) is the source of this 1500-nucleotide long non-coding RNA. RefSeq lists it as uncharacterized. The record is from RefSeq and is a predicted model, not a curated record. Lineage: Eukaryota; Viridiplantae; Streptophyta; Magnoliopsida; Malvales; Malvaceae. The transcript has 6 exons.
CGUUACUCCCUCUUUUUUCUCAUCUCCCAAAUAAAAGUUUCUACUUAAUUCUUUUUCCCUUUUAAUCUCAAAAUUUGCCCCAAAAUUUCCCAUUUUCAGCAACACCAAGUAAAUACACCUACACUAAUCACACUUCUUUUUCCUUUUCAUUUCACUGCACUGAAUUCACUCACCAUAGCUACUCAUUUUCUCUCGAUUUGUUAGGGUUUCUUUUAAUUUUAGGGUUUCAAGGGAAACAUACAGUUUCCUUUUAAUUUUACUGGUGAUUUCUAUGGAGACGGAAACCCUUGAUGACAAGAAACCGGAGGAAGAGGAGGUGAAAGAGCGACUGAAACUUCCCAUUGAAUAAGAAAUCAAUAGAAGGAAAAAGAAAUCAGAUCUUUCUGAAUAAGAAGAAGAAAAAUCAGUACUUUCUUUCCAUUGAAGAACAAGAAGUGAAAGAGGAUAUCAAGGGAAAAUGUCAAGAGAUAAACUAAGAAGAGCCGCACUUCCUCCUGUUCAAAAGAAUAUUGAUAAAUUAGAAAAAGCUAUAAAUGAGGGUAAUUUCUAUGGAGCUCAGCAGAUGUACAAAUCAAUAAGUGCACGAGAAACCGAAGGAAACCUGAAGAACUUAAUGGGGGAAAAAGGUGAACAGUAGGAAGAUCCUAAUGCAAUUUGAGCAAGAUCAAAAGGAAACAAAAGAUAUUCUGUUGAAGUGCUUCAGGAAAAGUAUGAAAAGGCCAUUGCUGCGCUUGCUGAAAUGGAGAAAAGAGCAGUAAUGGCAGAAUCAAUGGAGGAGGGUACCUUACAUUACCAUUCUGGACAAAAUAAAGCUCAGCUGUCUCUUUCUCCACGGUGUGUAGUUGACUUCCCACUUUCAAAUCUUUUAUGCUUGGGUGAAAAACAUUUUAUAAUGGAUGAUAAAACCAAACCAGACCAGCUGGUUCAACUAAUUCUACAGAGAACCUGGUAGUUUGACAGUCAUAUAGGUAAGCUUAUUUGCAUACCAUUACAAGCCUAGUUGUAAGGUACUUUGUUCCAUUUUUUUGUACUUAAUUGCCACUUGAUUUUAUAUUCUAUAAGACACGAUACCCUAUUUGUUAACAACUUAAUAUCAAAUUGCAGAUAUGCUAUUGCUUUCCUAAAUUACAGAUAUUGCGCUGCUAUCGCUGGGACUGAUUACUGUGUUAUAAUAGCUGAUACUUGAAUGUCUACCGAUCACAAUAUCCUCACCGGUGACUACUCCAAAAUCUCCAAAACUUCAUUACUCAAAGGUAGGUUCUUGCAUGAAAGACCUGUUGAAGAGGAGAGACCACCUUCAGUGGCAGUGAGUGAAUUAAAUCAAUUAAGUCACUACUCAGAAGUAAAGUAUCCAUUAGCCUUUAGCCUGUUACUUUAUCAGAAUGUGUUAGAUUUCCUCAACAAUGUCUAAUUUGAGUUUAUAGAAUCAAUAAACUCAUGUAGUAAACAGUGGAUGUAGUAAACCCAUUUCAGUAUAAUUUCAAAGGGUUUUUGAAUUUC